AGUAAGAUCCCUGAAAGAUGAUCAGGUUGAUAGGUCUGAGGUGGAAGUGUGGCGACACAUGGAGCUGACAGAUACUAAUCGAUCGAGGACUUAACCACAUUU
RNAcentral lists this ribosomal RNA (102 nucleotides) under Bacillus subtilis. RNAcentral's name for it is "partial 23S ribosomal RNA". It matches the Rfam family "Bacterial large subunit ribosomal RNA", at positions 2827 to 2925 of the family's 2925-position model. The record is from RNAcentral. Lineage: Bacteria; Bacillati; Bacillota; Bacilli; Caryophanales; Bacillaceae.